This is an RNA transcript of Leptopilina heterotoma, 2467 nucleotides long. RefSeq lists it as uncharacterized. The transcript has 28 exons. NCBI's taxonomy places the organism in Eukaryota, Metazoa, Arthropoda, Insecta, Hymenoptera, Figitidae. The record is from RefSeq and is a predicted model, not a curated record.
UAUAUCUUCGGAGAAAGAAAAUGUAUUGAACAUUUUUUUCUAUAUUUUUAUUGCAAUGUUGAACGAUUGUACAGGAGUAUAAAAGCAGGCAGCGAUUAAUCUUUUUUUUACUCCAAAAAAAUACAAAUACCACGAAGAUUUCACUUCAGUUUUGAUUGAUAACUAAUUCAUAACCAAUCAUCCUUAAAAUUAACAAAAUGGUUACUCGAAUAUCACUCGGCUACUGUAUCAUCACAUUCCUCCUUCUGUCAAUUAGCAUUAAUGUUGAAUGUACUGGAAAGCCGAAAAAAGACGGAAGUCAGUCUGAUUCCGAAUCAUCAUUCUCUCUGGGAAGUGAUUUUGAAAAUGCUGGAAUUAAUAUCCAUGAAGAUCUUGGUUCUGAUUUCGACGCAAUCGUGGAUGAUUUUCAAGCUGGAAAACUUGAGGAUACUGAAAAUGGAAUCGAACCAAUCUCAGAUGAUGAUCCUACAUCCAAUGUGAUAGGUAAAGGGAAAAAACCAAAGGGGAAAAAAAUUGAAAUACCUCAAGUAGGCGACCAAGUUGCACCGGAUGUAUCUGUACGAAGAAGCCGAAGACUUCAUAAGAAAGCAGAUAUGCCACAUCCUAAUUAUCUUAGGUCAGAUUCAUCCGAAGUCUCAGACGGUCCAUCUACUAGUCAUCAAGCAGAAAUAAGAAAAAUUACGCGUUUCUUAAAAUCUUCCAAAGAGGAUAGAAGAAAAUCGACAGAUCUUUCGGCAAAGAUAUCCGAUAUCUCAGAUAUUGAAUCUUUACAUGAGCUACGAGAUGACAAUGAAAAUGAAUUUCCAUUAAUUGGUAAGGAACCAAAAAGUGUUAAAAGUCGCACCAAAUAUGCACCAGAAACCGAGCCGAUCUCAGAUGAUGAUCCUACAUCCAAUGUGUUAGGUAAAGGGAAAAAAUCAAAGGGAAAAAAAAUUGGAAUACCUUACGUAGGCGACCAAGGUGAUUCGUCUGUUGCUUCCUCAGAUUCCGAAAACGUUUCACCGGAUGUAUCUGUACGAAGAAGCCGAAGACUUCAUAAGAAAGCAGAUAUGCCACAUCCUAAUUAUCGUAGGUCAGAUUCAUCCGAUCUCUCAGACGGUCCAUCUACUAGUCAUCAAGCAAAAAGAAGAAGAAUUAUGCGUAUCUUAAAAUCUUCCAAUGAGGAUAAAAGAAAAUCAUCAGAAGAGGGAGAUAACGCCAAAGGAAAGGAACUAAGACGUGGUAAGACAAAGAUUGUGCCAGAUCUUUCGGCAAAGAUAUCCGAUAUCUCAGAUAUUGAAUCUUUACAUGAGUUACUAGAUGACAAUGAAGAAGAUGCAAGAGUUUCAGAACCUGAAAAAGGUAUGUUUUCCUGAAAUUAUUACCUUUAGUCAGUAAUAGUUUACUAUAGGAGGCAAUAUUUAUUGCUACAUUAUCAACUGUUGGUACGGUCAAAUUUGUGUUAAUAAACUGUUUUACCGACCGAAGGUAACGUAUACCUUAAUAGAAAUGAUUUACAUACCCCAAAAAUGAACCUUUGCUGAUAUAAAAAAUGUAUAGGUGUUUUUUCCAUAUAUUAGAAUUUUUAGAAUUAGAAACAUCGAGUUUCACUAAGGUAGUCUUACAUUUAUUGUUUUACUAAAAAAAUUGUGCACAAUUAAUACUUUUUAUUUGUUACAGACCUAAUUGACCAUAUUCAUACUAAUAUGGUACAAUUGUAAAUUGUAGUAAAUAUUUUCUUUCCUAAUGAUAAUUUUUAUUCCUUGAGUUUUAUUACAGAAAAUGUAUCUAGCAACUAGGUUCAAUAGGUCGAAUAGAACAAGAAAAUGUUUCUCGUCAGGUUAAGAGAAAAAGUACCUGAAAUUCAACCAAGAAGAGUCUUCUUGAAUUCAACAAAUAUGGACAGAUAACCUCUACUGCAGAGGUUAUGUUGAUACUUAAAACAUAAAUUAUCAAAGAAAAGAAGUACUUCAGAAUCGCAGACUUUCCAAAAGAUGAAUUUUACAAAAAGGAUUUCAAUUCCAGUAGGACUGAAUAAUAAAAUAUGAAUCAAUAAAGGAAACAAAUAUAACGAAAUGGAUCAAAAAGGUAUCAAGAAUAUUAUGACGAAUAGGAUAUUCCAGUAGGACUGAAUGAUAAAAUAUGAAUCAAUAAAGGAAACAAAUAUAACGAAAUGGAUCAAAAAGGCAUCAAGAAUAUUAUGACGAAUAGGAUAUUCCAGUAGGACUGAAUGAUAAAAUAUGAAUCAAUAAAGGAAACAAAUAUAACGAAUUACGAAAUGAAUCAAAAAGGCAUCAAGAAUAUUAUGACGAAUAGGAUAUUCCAGUAGGACUGAAUGAUAAAAUAUGAAUCAAUAAAGGAAACAAAUAUAACGAAAUGAAUUAAAAAGGUAUCAAGAAUAUUAUGACGAAUAGGAUAUUCCAGUAGGACUGAAUGAUAAAAUACGAAUCAAUAAAGGAAACAAAUAUAACGAAAUGAAUCAAAAAGG